AGUCGAACGCGAGAGAGGCUUCGGCCUCAAUUGAGUGGCGAACGGGUGAGUAACACGUGGAUGACCUACCUUCGAGUGGGGGAUAACGUCCCGAAAGGGACGCUAAUACCGCAUAACAUCCUGCCUUUGAACAGGCGGUGAUCAAAGCCGGGGAUCGUAAGACCUGGCGCUUGAUGAGGGGCCCGCGUCUGAUUAGCUAGUUGGUGAGGUAACGGCCCACCAAGGCGACGAUCAGUAUCCGGCCUGAGAGGGCGGACGGACACACUGGGACUGAGACACGGCCCAGACUCCUACGGGAGGCAGCAGUGGGGAAUUGUUCGCAAUGGGCGCAAGCCUGACGACGCAACGCCGCGUGGAGGAUGAAGGUCUUCGGAUUGUAAACUCCUGUUGCUCGGGACGAAAAGCUCCGACCUAACACGUCGGAGUCUGACGGUACCGAGUGAGGAAGCCCCGGCUAACUCUGUGCCAGCAGCCGCGGUAAUACAGAGGGGGCAAGCGUUGUUCGGAAUUACUGGGCGUAAAGGGCGCGUAGGCGGCCUUCUAAGUCGAACGUGAAAUCCCCGGGCUCAACCCGGGAACUGCGUCCGAUACUGGAGGGCUUGAAUCCGGGAGAGGGAUGUGGAAUUCCAGGUGUAGCGGUGAAAUGCGUAGAUAUCUGGAGGAACACCGGUGGCGAAGGCGACAUCCUGGACCGGUAUUGACGCUGAGGCGCGAAAGCCAGGGGAGCAAACGGGAUUAGAUACCCCGGUAGUCCUGGCCCUAAACGAUGAAUGCUUGGUGUGGCGGGUAUCGAUCCCUGCCGUGCCGAAGCUAACGCAUUAAGCA
RNAcentral lists this ribosomal RNA (825 nucleotides) under uncultured Bacillota bacterium. Its description in RNAcentral is "bacterial SSU rRNA". It matches the Rfam family "Bacterial small subunit ribosomal RNA", at positions 60 to 866 of the family's 1533-position model. The record is from RNAcentral. Lineage: Bacteria; Bacillati; Bacillota.